Molecule: long non-coding RNA, 98 nt
Organism: Myotis davidii
Lineage: Eukaryota; Metazoa; Chordata; Mammalia; Chiroptera; Vespertilionidae
Exons: 3
Source: RefSeq, a predicted model, not a curated record
GGUUUGGCUCAGUGGAUAGAGCGUCAGCCUGCGGACUGAAGGGUCCCAGGUUCGAUUCCUGUCAAGGGCAUGUACCUUGGUUGCAGGCUCCUCCCCAG